UACGGGGGGGGCAAGCGUUGUUCGGAAUUACUGGGCGUAAAGGGCUCGUAGGCGGCCAACUAAGUCGGAUGUGAAAUCCCCAGGCUCAACUUGGGAACUGCAUCCGAUACUGGAUGGCUUGAAUUCGGGAGAGGGAUGCAGAAUUCCAGGUGUAGCGGUGAAAUGCGUAGAUAUCUGGAGGAAUACCGGUGGCGAAGGCGGCUUCUUGGGCCAUUUCUGACGCUGAGGCGCGAAAGCUAGGGGAGCGAACGGG
This 253-nucleotide ribosomal RNA is filed under the name uncultured bacterium. Its description in RNAcentral is "partial 16S ribosomal RNA". It matches the Rfam family "Bacterial small subunit ribosomal RNA", at positions 524 to 776 of the family's 1533-position model. The record is from RNAcentral.